GACGAACGCUGGCGGCGUGCUUAACACAUGCAAGUCGAACGGAAAGGCCCUGCUUGCAGGGUACUCGAGUGGCGAACGGGUGAGUAACACGUGGGUGAUCUGCCCUGCACUUCGGGAUAAGCCUGGGAAACUGGGUCUAAUACCGGAUAGGAGCCAUUUUUAGUGUGAUGGUUGGAAAGUUUUUUCGGUGUAGGAUGAGCUCGGGGCCUAUCAGCUUGUUGGUGGGGUAAUGGCCUACCAAGGCGGCGACGGGUAGCCGGCCUGAGAGGGUGGACGGCCACAUUGGGACUGAGAUACGGCCCAGACUCCUACGGGAGGCAGCAGUGGGGAAUAUUGCACAAUGGGAGCAAGCCUGAUGCAGCGACGCCGCGUGGGGGAUGACGGCCUUCGGGUUGUAAACUCCUUUCGCUAGGGACGAAGCUUUUGUGACGGUACCUAGAUAAGAAGCACCGGCUAACUACGUG
This 464-nucleotide ribosomal RNA is filed under the name uncultured bacterium. RNAcentral's name for it is "partial 16S ribosomal RNA". It matches the Rfam family "Bacterial small subunit ribosomal RNA", at positions 28 to 507 of the family's 1533-position model. The record is from RNAcentral.